RNAcentral lists this ribosomal RNA (164 nucleotides) under uncultured bacterium. RNAcentral describes it as "partial 16S ribosomal RNA". It matches the Rfam family "Bacterial small subunit ribosomal RNA", at positions 355 to 511 of the family's 1533-position model. The record is from RNAcentral.
UAGGGAAUCUUCCACAAUGGGCGAAGGCCUGAUGGAGCAACGCCGCGUGUGUGAUGAAGGGUUUCGGCUCGUAAAACACUGUUGUAAGAGAAGAAUGACAUUGAGAGUAACUGUUCAAUGUGUGACGGUAUCUUACCAGAAAGGAACGGCUAAAUACGUGCCAG